GAAGAAGGUCUUCGGAUCGUAAAACCCUGUUGUUAGAGAAGAAAGUGCGUGAGAGUAACUGUUCACGUUUCGACGGUAUCUAACCAGAAAGCCACGGCUAACUACGUGCC
RNAcentral lists this ribosomal RNA (110 nucleotides) under uncultured bacterium. RNAcentral's name for it is "partial 16S ribosomal RNA". It matches the Rfam family "Bacterial small subunit ribosomal RNA", at positions 407 to 509 of the family's 1533-position model. The record is from RNAcentral.